Long non-coding RNA from Leopardus geoffroyi (Geoffroy's cat), 1577 nucleotides. RefSeq lists it as uncharacterized. The transcript is spliced from 3 exons. The record is from RefSeq and is a predicted model, not a curated record. NCBI's taxonomy places the organism in Eukaryota, Metazoa, Chordata, Mammalia, Carnivora, Felidae.
GGAACAUAAUUUCCUACUUCACAAACAGGGGCUUCACAUAGAGCUAUCCUUCCAAAGGAUACUGCAGGGAAAGAAGAGACUGCAUGGAAAGAGGAGAAAAAGAGUAGUUGUAUAUUGGAAAAGCCUGACAAAUACUACCUCAAUUGGGUGAUCAAGCCCUUAAUCUCAGAUCAGUCAUGAGAAAGACAUCAAACAAAUCCAAAUGGGGGACAUUCUGCAAAAUAACUCACCAGUACUCCUCAAAACUAUAAAGGUCAUCAAAAACAAGGAAACUCUGAGAAAUUGUCAUAGCCAAGAGGAGCCUGAGGAGAUAAUGACAACUAAAUGCAAUCUAGUAUCCUGGAUGAGAUGCUGGAAUAGAAAAAGAACAUCAGGUGAAGGAUAGGCUCUGGGAGACUCCCAGCAUUGUCAGUGCCAGAAGCAGAGGAAUGGGGACUGGAACCCAGGUGUCCUGGCACCAAGUCCAGCGCUCCUUGUUAUACUUAGCCAUCUCUCAAGGGGAAAUACAUAAUAUACUCCUGGUGCUUCUACUUGGAUUAUAUUGGAAAGAAAGUUGGCAUGAAUAAAUAUCUCUAGUUUACGAACACAAAUAACUUUCUUUUUUGCCAAUCUCUACUAUUUAAAUAGUGUCAGUAUACUAGUGGUUCUUCUUAAUAACUGUCUAUUAUAAAUAGUCAAUAUUCUGGGCAAUGUAAUGCUCGAUUAAUAUUACAUUCUGUUUUCUCAGUGAUGCACAGUUGAAAUCCAGAAACUAAGCUCUGUGAGGAUGGUAAACAUUCUUCUCAACAUUAAAUCCUUUGAUGUUGAAAAAGAAUAUGCAUUAAAGUAUCCUAAAAUAUUAUAUAAUAACUUUAUAAUAUAAGUUAACACAAGCUCAUCAUUCUGGUCCAUUAUUUGGCACAUGGCUUUAUUCUUUCAUAGUUUCUUCUUACCUGAGGACUUCUGUUCCUCCUCAGUAGAUGUAGUCCACUUACCUAUCAUGACUUUACUGCUGCUUGAUUUCAUUUUCUAACCUAUUUUAUGUGCGAGGAAAAUCAUUCAUAAUAGCUUGUGUGUGACUGUGUUUCACCUCUAGUCAAUGACCAUUUUUAUUCAAACUAUUUUAAACGAUGUUUUGGAAUCGGUCCAUCCCUUGCCUUUGCGUAUAUUCUAUAUCUUUUUCUAACUUUCCCAAAUGACUCACUUUUUGCUUUUGUUUUUAAUUAGAGGCUCUUCUUAUGGUUUCUUCCUGAGUAUCCCCUUUGGAGCUAGGCAGAUAUUGUUUUGCACAGCAGAAUGUCCAGCUGAGAACAAAAAUACAGACCUGUGUUUUUUGCAACAAUCUUUAAGUGGGUUUAAUCAGAAUGCAGUUUUACAGUUCAAAUAUAUCCAUAUUUCAAAGACCACAGAACUUAACAUUAUAUGCUCUCUUUUUCAGCAAUGUGAACAAACCAAACUGUCAAACACUGAACCAGUGGAAAAUGAAUGUACUUCCAAAAUCAUUUCCCUGAUCUACUGCAAACAGCUUGAUCACAUUGGAGAAUGUGACCCAUGCAGUUGCUGAAGCGUGUUUUCCCACUAUACCUCAUGCAGAAAAA